Dictyostelium firmibasis is the source of this 108-nucleotide non-coding RNA. Lineage: Eukaryota; Evosea; Eumycetozoa; Dictyosteliales; Dictyosteliaceae. The record is from the annotation of a GenBank genome assembly.
UUUAUGCAGGUGUACCAAGACAAUCUCCAAGUACGUAUGGUAACUCAAUUGAAAAAUAAUGAUUGAGUACAUAAGUACUUGGAGAUUGGCUUGGUAAACAUGCAUAAA